RNAcentral lists this ribosomal RNA (638 nucleotides) under uncultured bacterium. RNAcentral's name for it is "bacterial SSU rRNA". It matches the Rfam family "Bacterial small subunit ribosomal RNA", at positions 116 to 770 of the family's 1533-position model. The record is from RNAcentral.
CGUGAGGAACCUGCCUCAAAGAGGGGGACAACAGUUGGAAACGACUGCUAAUACCGCAUAAGCCCACGGCUCGGCAUCGAGCAGAGGGAAAAGGAGUGAUCCGCUUUGAGAUGGCCUCGCGUCCGAUUAGCUGGUUGGUGAGGUAAUGGCCCACCAAGGCGACGAUCGGUAGCCGGACUGAGAGGUUGAACGGCCACAUUGGGACUGAGACACGGCCCAGACUCCUACGGGAGGCAGCAGUGGGGAAUAUUGCACAAUGGGGGAAACCCUGAUGCAGCGACGCCGCGUGGAGGAAGAAGGUCUUCGGAUUGUAAACUCCUGUUGUUGAGGAAGAUAAUGACGGUACUCAACAAGGAAGUGACGGCUAACUACGUGCCAGCAGCCGCGGUAAAACGUAGGUCACAAGCGUUGUCCGGAAUUACUGGGUGUAAAGGGAGCGCAGGCGGGAGGACAAGUUGGAAGUGAAAUCCAUGGGCUCAACCCAUGAACUGCUUUCAAAACUGUUUUUCUUGAGUAGUGCAGAGGUAGGCGGAAUUCCCGGUGUAGCGGUGGAAUGCGUAGAUAUCGGGAGGAACACCAGUGGCGAAGGCGGCCUACUGGGCACCAACUGACGCUGAGGCUCGAAAGUGUGGGUAGCA